This 423-nucleotide ribosomal RNA is filed under the name uncultured bacterium. Its description in RNAcentral is "bacterial SSU rRNA". It matches the Rfam family "Bacterial small subunit ribosomal RNA", at positions 207 to 622 of the family's 1533-position model. The record is from RNAcentral.
AAGACCUUGCGCUUUUGGAGCGGCCGAUGCCUGAUUAGCUUGUUGGUAAGGUAAAAGCUUACCAAGGCUUCGAUCAGUAGCUGGUCUGAGAGGACGACCAGCCACACUGGGACUGAGACACGGCCCAGACUCCUACGGGAGGCAGCAGUGGGGAAUUUUGGACAAUGGGCGCAAGCCUGAUCCAGCCAUGCCGCGUGAGUGAAGAAGGCCUUCGGGUUGUAAAGCUCUUUCAGUCGAGAAGAAAAGGUCACGGCUAAUAAUCGUGAUCCAUGACGGUAUCGACAGAAGAAGCACCGGCUAACUACGUGCCAGCAGCCGCGGUAAUACGUAGGGUGCGAGCGUUAAUCGGAAUUACUGGGCGUAAAGGGUGCGCAGGCGGUUUUGUAAGUCAGAUGUGAAAUCCCCGGGCUUAACCUGGGAACU